AGUUGAUCCUGCUGGAGGAUACUGCUUUUGGAGUUCGAUUAAGUCAUGCAAGUCCGAACGUAAGUUCGGCGAACGGCUCAGUAACACGUGGGUAACCUGCCCUAUGGUCUGGAAUAACCUUGGGAAACUGAGGGUAAUACCGGAUAGAGUAAUUCUACUGGAAUGUGUUUUACUUGAAAGGUAACGCCAUAGGAUGGGCCUGCGUUAGAUUAGGUUGUUGGUGAGGUAAUGGCUCACCAAGCCUGUGAUCUAUAGGGGCAAUGAAAGUUGGAGCCCUGAGAAGAGGACUGAGACAAGGCCUCUAGCCCUACGGGGUGCAGCAGACGCGAAACCUCUACAAUGAACGAAAGUUUGAUAGGGGGACUCCGAGUGCUCUUAGGAAACUAAGGGCUUUUGUUAAGUGUAGAAAGCUUGACGAAUAAGGACUGGGUAAGACCCGUGCCAGCCGCCGCGGUAAUACGGGCAGUUCUAGUGGUAUCCACGUAUAUUGGGCUUAAAGCGUCCGUAGCUGGUCCAGAAAGUUUCUAGUGAAAGCUCGCAGCUUAACUGAUGAGAGGUGCUAGAAAAACUUUUGGACUUGGAGGCGGGAGAGGUAAGAGGUACUUUUGGGGUAGCGGUUAAAUGUGUUAAUCCUGAAGGGACCACCGGUAGCGAAGGCGUCUUACUAGAACGCGCUCGACAGUGAGGGACGAAGGCUAGGGGAGCAACCCGGAUUAGAUACCCGGUUAGUCCUAGCAGUAAAUUAUGCAGACUAGGUGUCCUGUAACCUACGUGGUUAUGGGGUGCCGAAGGGAAACCGUUAAGUCUGCCGCCUGGGGAGUACGGCCGCAAGACUGAAACUUAAAGGAAUUGGCGGGAGAGCACCACAAGGGGUGGAGGCUGCGGUUUAAUUGGAUACAACGCCGGACAUCUUACCGGAGGCGACGGCAGAAUGAAGAUCAGUCUGAAGGGCUUAUCCGACUCGUCGAGAGGUGGUGCAUGGCCAUCGUCAGCUCGUGCUGUGAAGUGUCCUGUUGAGUCAGGUAACGAGCGAGAUCCACGCCAUUAGUUGCUAAUUUUUUCAUUGCGAAAGAAUGCACUCUAAUGGGACUGCAAGUGCUAAACUUGAGGAAGGUGUGGGCGACGAUAGGUCUGUAUGCCCCGAAUCUUCCGGGCUACACGUGGCCUACAUUGGUAAGUACAACGAGAUGCAACUCCGAAAGGAGAAGCUAAUCUCUUAAAACUUAUCUAAGUCUGGAUCGAGGGUUGAAACUCACCCUCGUGAAAAUGGAAUCCCUAGUAAUCGCGAAUCACUAUUUCGCGGUGAAUAUGUCCCUGCUCUUUGCACACACCGCCUGUCAAGCCACUCAAGCGGGGUUUUGGCGAGACCAUAUCUUCAUGGUAUGGUCGAACCUAGGUUCUGUGAGAUGGGCUAAGUCAUAACAAGGUA
This 1429-nucleotide ribosomal RNA is filed under the name metagenome. Its description in RNAcentral is "bacterial SSU rRNA". It matches the Rfam family "Archaeal small subunit ribosomal RNA". The record is from RNAcentral.